UACGGAGGGUGCAAGCGUUAAUCGGAAUUACUGGGCGUAAAGCGUGCGCAGGCGGUUUGUUAAGUCCGUUGUGAAAGCCCCGAGCUCAACUUGGGAAUUGCAGUGGAUACUGGCAGGCUGGAGUACGGUAGAGGAAGGUGGAAUUCCCGGUGUAGCAGUGAAAUGCGUAGAUAUCGGGAGGAACACCAGUGGCGAAAGGCGGCCUCUGGACC
RNAcentral lists this ribosomal RNA (212 nucleotides) under uncultured bacterium. RNAcentral describes it as "partial 16S ribosomal RNA". It matches the Rfam family "Bacterial small subunit ribosomal RNA", at positions 524 to 735 of the family's 1533-position model. The record is from RNAcentral.